CAGCAGCCGCGGUAAUUCGGAGGGGGCUAGCGUUGUUCGGAAUUACUGGGCGUAAAGCGCACGUAGGCUGCUUUGUAAGUUAGAGGUGAAAGCCUGGUGCUCAACACCAGAACUGCCUUUAAGACUGCAGAGCUAGAACGUCGGAGAGGUGAGUGGAAUUCCGAGUGUAGAGGUGAAAUUCGUAGAUAUUCGGAAGAACACCAGUGGCGAAGGCGGCUCACUGGACGACUGUUGACGCUGAGGUGCGAAAGCGUGGGGAGCAAACAGGAUUAGAUACCCCCGUAGUCCCUGUCUCUUAUAC
This 301-nucleotide ribosomal RNA is filed under the name uncultured bacterium. Its description in RNAcentral is "partial 16S ribosomal RNA". It matches the Rfam family "Bacterial small subunit ribosomal RNA", at positions 509 to 807 of the family's 1533-position model. The record is from RNAcentral.